AAUGAAAUGAAUAAAGAAGAAUUCAAAUGACAUAACCAAAACAAAAUGGUCAAAUGUGAAUGGGAUCAUCAUCAACCAAUGGUAAACAGAAGUGAAAUGAAGAUUAGAAGUCAAGAAAGGUCAAACAUAUUUUUGGUAUAUUUUUGGAAUUAAAAUAAUACAUAAAAUAAAAUGAAUAAAGCAUGGUCAAACUUCAAAU
RNAcentral lists this long non-coding RNA (199 nucleotides) under Lathyrus oleraceus (garden pea). RNAcentral's name for it is "Pisum sativum (pea) long non-coding RNA (PSAT_LNC032969)". The record is from RNAcentral. Lineage: Eukaryota; Viridiplantae; Streptophyta; Magnoliopsida; Fabales; Fabaceae.